UGAGGAACAUGACCUUCGGCGGGGGAUAGCCGGCCCAACGGCCGGGUAAUACCGCGUACGACCUUUCGGGGACAUCCCCGGAUGGUGAAAGCAGCAAUGCGCCGAUGGAGUGCCUCGCGGCCUAUCAGCUAGUUGGUGAGGUAACGGCUCACCAAGGCGACGACGGGUAGCUGGUCUGAGAGGAUGGCCAGCCACAUUGGGACUGAGAUACGGCCCAGACCUCCGUACGGGAGNAG
RNAcentral lists this ribosomal RNA (236 nucleotides) under uncultured bacterium. Its description in RNAcentral is "partial 16S ribosomal RNA". It matches the Rfam family "Bacterial small subunit ribosomal RNA", at positions 118 to 347 of the family's 1533-position model. The record is from RNAcentral.